Molecule: ribosomal RNA, 1334 nt
Filed under: uncultured cyanobacterium
Lineage: Bacteria; Bacillati; Cyanobacteriota
Description: bacterial SSU rRNA
Rfam family: Bacterial small subunit ribosomal RNA
Source: RNAcentral
GUCGAACGGAAGUCUUCGGACUUUAGUGGCGGACGGGUGAGUAACGCGUGAGAACCUACCCUUAGGACGGGGAUAACAGCUGGAAACGGCUGCUAAUACCCGAUGUGCCGAGAGGUGAAAGAUUUAUUGCCUGAGGAAGGGCUCGCGUCCGAUUAGCUAGUUGGAGUGGUAAUGGCACCCAAAGGCGACGAUCGGUAGCUGGUCUGAGAGGAUGAUCAGCCACACUGGGACUGAGACACGGCCCAGACUCCUACGGGAGGCAGCAGUGGGGAAUUUUCCGCAAUGGGCGCAAGCCUGACGGAGCAAUACCGCGUGCGGGAGGACGGCCUUUGGGUUGUAAACCGCUUUUCUCAGGGAAGAAGUUCUGACGGUACCUGAGGAAUCAGCAUCGGCUAACUCCGUGCCAGCAGCCGCGGUAAUACGGGGGAUGCAAGCGUUAUCCGGAAUUAUUGGGCGUAAAGCGUCCGCAGGUGGUUUGUCAAGUCUGCUGUUAAAGCGUGGAGCUUAACUCCAUAUCGGCGGUGGAAACUGAUGAACUAGAGGGUGGUAGGGGUCACGGGAAUUCCCAGUGUAGCGGUGAAAUGCGUAGAUAUUGGGAAGAACACCAGCGGCGAAAGCGCGUGACUGGGCCAUUACUGACACUCAUGGACGAAAGCUAGGGGAGCGAAAGGGAUUAGAUACCCCUGUAGUCCUAGCCGUAAACGAUGGACACUAGGUGUUGCCCGAUCGACCCGGGCAGUGCCGUAGCUAACGCGUUAAGUGUCCCGCCUGGGGAGUACGCACGCAAGUGUGAAACUCAAAGGAAUUGACGGGGGCCCGCACAAGCGGUGGAGUAUGUGGUUUAAUUCGAUGCAACGCGAAGAACCCUACCAGGGCUUGACAUGUCCAGAACCCUCUUGAAAGGGAGGGGUGCCUUCGGGAACUGGAGCACAGGUGGUGCAUGGCUGUCGUCAGCUCGUGUCGUGAGAUGUUGGGUUAAGUCCCGCAACGAGCGCAACCCUCGUUUUUAGUUGCCAUCAUUCAGUUGGGCACUCUAGAGAGACUGCCGGUGACAAACCGGAGGAAGGUGGGGAUGACGUCAAGUCAGCAUGCCCCUUACGUCCUGGGCUACACACGUACUACAAUGCUGCGGACAAAGGGUUGCAAGCUCGCGAGAGCAAGCUAAUCCCAUAAACCGUGGCUCAGUUCAGAUUGCAGGCUGCAACUCGCCUGCAUGAAGGAGGAAUCGCUAGUAAUCGCAGGUCAGCAUACUGCGGUGAAUACGUUCCCGGGCCUUGUACACACCGCCCGUCACACCAUGGGAGUUGGCCACGCCCGAAGUCGUUACUCCAACC